Non-coding RNA from Podarcis lilfordi (Lilford's wall lizard), 1787 nucleotides. The record is from the annotation of a GenBank genome assembly. Lineage: Eukaryota; Metazoa; Chordata; Lepidosauria; Squamata; Lacertidae.
UAAGCCGGUCUCUUGCUGAUAUCUCCAUAUGCCCGUCAUCGAGGGCUGGUGCUUAGUUUAGUAACCUGUGCUGUAGUUUUGCUGUGCAAUUGAGAUAGCAGCCAGCGCUUAAGGGCACAAACCAUAGUUAGCACGAACCGUAAUCGUUGUGCCUGCCUUAGUUCCUUGUUUGGUAGCUAGAGUUAAGAACUGUGCAUGUUUUUAAGCUUUUUGUAUGAUGGGCGCGAGGCUGGCUGGUUCACAAACCUGCCUGGCUCGAACGCCUCAACACAUUGGGCCUUUUCUUUGCGGUUGUGAUUCAGUGAUGGCUGUUUUCGUGGCAUUUUGGUUUCCUUUUGGGUAGAAUUAACCUUCCCCGAGUCCUUUGGAAAGGCUGGACUGGAAAGGCAACUUGCCAGCCAACUGAACAAAUACUGCCAAAUUAGUACAGAAAGAGAUCUUGUCAUGCUUUGAGCCUAUGUAAAUGGGACUGAGGAACUUCCCCUCUUAAUCUGGGCUGGAGUUCUGUUUCCUUUCUUUCCUGAGCAUCGGAACUGUAUGGUAGUAGGUUUUCGACAGCCGAAGUAAAUUCUUUGCGAAUCUCAGGACCGGCACAGAGCUACUUUGCAUGUGCCGCUAAACCGAACUGUAGCUUAGCAUUAAGGAGGAUAUUGACAAGCUGGAACGUGUGCCGGAAGACAGAGACCAAGAUUAUAAAGGUAUUUAGGAGGAACGGUUGAGGUAGUUGGGUGCCUGUAGAAGAGAAGACAGAGCUGCUAUGAGAGCCAUCUUCAAAUAUCUGAGAGAGCCAGUGUGGUGUAGUGGUUAAGAGCGGUGGACUCGUAAUCUGGUGAACCGGGUUCGAUUCCCCGCUCCUCCACCUGCAGCUGCUGGGUGACCUUGGACCAGUCACACUUCUCUGAAGUCUCUCAGCCCCACUCACCUCACAGAGUGCUUGUUGUGGGGGAGGAAGGGAAAGGAGAAUGUUGGCCGAUUUAAGACUCCUUAAAGGGAGUGAAAGGCGGGAUAUCAAAUCCAAACUCUUCUUCUUCUUGAGGGGCUGCCCCAUGGAAGAUGGGGGCAAGCUUGUCUCCUGCUGCUGCAGAGGGUAGGAGUCGAGCCAGUUUGAUUCAAAUCACAAGAAAGGAGAUUCCCACCAAAUUUAGGAAGAACUUUUUGACCAGAAGAGCAAUUCAUGGUGGAACAUGCGACCUCGGAAGGGAUUGUUUAGUUGUGGUUCUUGCUUUGUGGGGGUUCAAAAUAAACCACAAGCCUGGGUUCAGGUGGCACGUUGAGCCAAACCAUGGUUUAGCUCUCAGCAGCAGCACAGUGGCUGCAAUUUCCAUUUUUAACAUUUAUAGCUUAAACAGAAUUUCAUGUUGGGGAUGGGGGAGCUCCUUUUGAGAGAAGGUGGCAAGUAGAAGUCUGGUUAUGGUGCUUUCUCUUAAGAGACAUUUUGCUUUCUUCAUAUUUAUAUACCUACUUAAUUUAUGCAGUCAUACCUCGUGUUGCAUUUGCUUCAGGUUGAGCGUUUUCAGGUUGCGUCCUGCGGCGACCUGGAAGUACCGGACAGGGUUACUUCCGGGUUUCACCGCUCGCGCAUGCGCAGACGCUCAAAAUGACGUUAGGCACAUGUGCAGAAGCGGCAAAUCGCAACCCGCGCUUGCACAGACGCGGGUUGCAUUCUGCUCAUGUUGCGAACGGGGCUCCAGAGUGGAUCCCUUUUGCAACCAGAGGUACCACUGUAUAGCGUUCCCAUAACAGAAGUACUCUAGGAAGCCAGUGUGGUGUAGUGGUUAGAAUGUUGG